GUAGAUUCUUUCUGCAGGAAGGGGAUGGGUUGGCAAAAGCCAAGCCAUCUUCUGUUAUAAAGCUACAGAGGGCAAAUCUUGACCCAAGGAGGCGAGCUGUCGGAAGUUGAUGGAAGGAACUUCCUGCCAUUAACCCCGGUAAAACCCGGAGCAGGUGGCCUCUGGAGGCCAGAGCUGGCCGGUUAGCACCCUCAGUGAGAGUAAAGGUUGGCCACCUGCCAGAAAUACCUCCAGGAAGGAAGAAAAUGGAACAGAUGGCCCCUGCUGUCCCUUUUUCAACUCUAAGAUACCAUGAUUUUAAGAUACUGGAACACGGGGACCAAGAACUUAUUCAGGAUUUAUGCAAGAUCGCACCCCACCUUCAUAAGAACUUUCCUAAGACAAAACACAAGAAUCACCACCCCAUCCACUCACAGUAAAACACAGAAGACUGUUCAAACACCAGGACGCCUCCUUAACCAUGGCCGGUUUCAAAACAUCCUGAAUGACUUAACCACUAGAAAUGAACCAAGAACAUUUUUGUAAACAGUAUUUUUUGGGAGGGUCUAUUUGUUGUUGUUCUAUUCCAUAAAGGAUUUAUGAUGGCUAAUUGGCUCUAGAUGUGUUUACAAUCCGUUUAUGAAGAACAGCAACACCUACAAUGGGCUGGUCUUAGAGUCGUGCCAAGAGUUAACACAAGGGAAGGACAAGGAUAAAAGGACUUGUCACGGUCAGAGGCCCAGAGGCCCAGAAAGCAGCCCCUUACUCUGAACCCAUCCCUCAGUCCUCACUCCCCUUCCAUCACCUUCUGUGGCUUAAGCCAGCAGCGCACAGUGAGUGCAUGAUGCUCACCUGGCAUUUAUCCACCAGGUAUCAGGACACCUGAGACAAAACCUUCAGGGUCACUGGCUUCACGUCUAAAAGGAGACAAGCAUGCAAGCUGUAUUGAGCUCAUGCUGGGCAGCACCACUUGCUUUUAAGAGCUUUCCUUCCUUAAAAUGUGCAAACGUGAGCUAUCAGAUUUCACAUUGCAGCUGAGCCUCAUUAUCUGACAAUGCUGUUUUAUUACAAGGACAUAACUCACAUUAGCAAUUCAUUAACAAGAUAGCGACAUAACAACUCUGAAAAAUUGUAUUUCUGAGCUUAUCAGAAUUGGGUUAGAUUAAUUUUUUUCAGUUUCCUCUUAAAAAUACCUAAGACUUUUCAAAUCAGUGCUAACUUUGAUUUUUUUUUUCUCUAAAUUUUAAACUAAGUCAAGUUUUCUAGCUUUUUUUUCAAACGACAGAAUAAUCUCAACUACUAUUUGGGUGUGUGCUGCUUCAAAAGAGAGGGAUAGCGACGCAACGCUACAAUUGAAAUUACAAAUGGGUGUUGCUUCUAACAAACAGCGCUUUUGGAGGAAAAGAAAACAAGAAUGCUCAGGAUGUUUUUUUCUGGCAGUGGCAGGAGGCUAGAUGGUGUGAGGGCGCUAGUUCUCUGAAAGAUCAUGUGAAAUACAUUUUAAAAUAUUCAUUCCUGGAGUUCCUGUCAUGGCUCAAUUAAGGAAUCCCACUAGGAACCAUGAGGUUUACGAAUCCCCCUAGGAACCAUGAGGUUUCGGGUUCCAUCCCUGGCCCUGCUCAGUGGGUUAAGGAUCUGCCCUUGCUGUGAGCUGUGGUGUAGGUCACAGAUGCGGCUCGGACCCUGGGGCUGUGGUCUGUAGCUCUAAUUGGACCCCUAGCCUAGGAACCUCCAUAUGCCGCUGGUGUGGCUCUAAAAAGAAAAAAAAAAAAAAAAUUCUAAAUGCUGGGGACCCAGACCUGCCACUUCAACCCCAAUUCCCUUCCUCCCACAUCCCAGCCCUGAGUCCCUCCUCUGAUACAGCAAUGCUAGGAAGAGUGACUGGGAUCUGCCCCCCGAACUGAAUAGAUUCUCAGCAUUGGUCUCCUUCCUCUGUUCCAAAGCCUUGAGGCUUCCCUGUAACUCUUAUCAAGAAUCACUCUGUGGGAAAAAAGCAGAUACCGAAACAUUACCAAAUGUCAUCUCCAGCGCGGCGAGAGCAGGGGCUCUUUCACAUUAAGUAUAAUUCUCCACCCUGCCCAAGUAGUUUUCUUUUUUUUAAUUUCUCAUUUACCACGUAAAGAGCAUAGUAAGAGUAAAGAGCAUUUACUAUGAUAAGAAAUUAAAUCAUUUUCAUGAAGAGAGAGAAGCACUUUAUGCCACAACAGACUCUUUUGAUGUCGUCCCAUAUUUACUGAAUCUCGCUGAUUCCUUCUCUCCUAUGGUACGGGUGAUUUGAUACUCAACUCCAUCACAGAUACAUCAACAAUACAUUUGAAUACACCCUCCCCCACCUACUGCAGCAUCUCCUUCUGUUCCUGGGCUGGCCCAUCAACACUCAGGCAACCCUGGUCACCACCAGUCUAGGGCUCCCCCCAGGCCACCAUCCCCCACUCCACCUCCUACACAGCCUCUUCUUUGCUCGCUAAUCCUACAGAUUAUUGCCAAACCCAGUCAACUCCAUUGCUAUUAACACCUGACCCUGUGUUCAGUACUACUUAAAAUACCAAUCAGCCUAGUGCAGGCUGCCCCUCUAUACACACACACACACACACACACACACACAACUGUGAGUUCAGACACCAGUCCACAGCCUUCUCUUUCACAACCAUCUGGUCAAUGACCACACUACGGUGAUUUCUGGAUUUUCACAGUGGUUCUGGACCUUCAUAUUAACAACCCUUACUGAGAACCUACUAUGCAUCAAAAACUUAAAUUCUGAAUUACUGCACCUCUUCCUUGGCCUCCUGCAACAAACUGCGAUGCAGAAAAGCAUCAAAAUAUAUGGGGUAUGGAUGAUUAACAGGGACCUACUGCCUAGCACAGGGAACUCUUCUCAGUAUUCUAGAUAACCUAUAUGGGGAAAGAAUCUGAAAAAGAUUGAGUAUGUGUAUGUGUAUAACUAGAUCAUUUUGCUGUAUAGCAGAAAUUAACACAACAUUGUAAAUCAACUAUACAUCAGUAAAAUUUUUUUAAAUGAAAAAAAUACAUGUGUUAAAAGUAAUGGAGUCCAGAUAAACUCUGUGGGAAAAGAAACAGGAAGAAAACAGAUGGGCUGGGCAGCCCAGAGCCUGCAGAGCAGUUUUCAAAGGGUUUCUUCCCUCCACUGCUUCUCUGGGCCUGAAGGAGCAGUUGGGUCCAGUGGAGUGGACGUACCGGCAUAAUUUCAAGAAUCAUUUUGGGAGAGCACACGAGGAACAUACAUUUGGCAAAAGAAGGACUCCCCAAAGCCAAGGUCAUUAGUCACCAGAAAAUGACACUUAGGAAAGUUAUGAAGUCCCCUGGAGAGGUUUUUAAAAAAUUGAUGAGAUUCUAAUCUCUCUGUCUGGUUGAGGUGGGGCCUGAACUCCCUAACAAAGCUAAAGUUCAAAGUCCUUUGGUAGCUGGAGAGUCAAGGAAAUUUAUACUAAUUCACCUGAAGCAGGGGAGGGGUGUGGAGGGGACAGGGCAGGAUCCCAAGAUAUUCCCCCUUUCCCCUACUGAACCAAGGUCCCCCGUAUGGAAAACAGUGCCCUUGGCCUUGGCGCCUGCCAGCCCUGGCCACCAUGCAAUGAUAGCCAGCAGGUGCAGCCACACCAGCUCACAAAGUGCCAGCUACCUGAAGGAAUGCCUCACACCCAUCUCAGAAAAAGAUGCCCGGGGCCUCCCUUCACUACUCCUCAGUAAGUAUAUAGUCAAAGCUAUCUAGCUAUCUAACAUCUAAAAUGCAUUCUAUCAGCCCAAAUAACUGGUCCUCUUAAUGUCUACUUCUAAGCACCAGAACAAAGAUUUCAAACAAGUAGUUAAAAUUUAUCAGAAACAUAAAAGACUGUGGCACAGGCCGGCAGAGCAAACCACAGGUAAACGGAUGUCUUGAUUCCAGAAUGAAAAGGUACCAUCCCCUCACACAGAGUGCUGUGUUAUUCAGCUCUUUACAUUGAAAUCAUCAUCAAAUCCUUUUAACCAGCAAAUAAUGAAGCAUUAUAAAACCUACAAGAAAACUCGUCUUCCUUCCGAGGAAGGAAGGAAAUGACUUAACAUUUCUACUCAAUAUUCAGUAUCAGAAAGAGACUUAUGCAGAUAAACUGCAUAGAAAGAAAUUGCUAUCCCAGUAAAGCUUCACUUCUCACUAUACAAUUUAAAAGAACUAUUUCACAGAUGCCCGCCCCCCUUUUUUUCCUUAGAGAAAACCAGGUCACAACUUUCGGUGUUCAUACAUUUUAAAUUCAUUCAUUUUCUUCCCCCAUCCCCCAAGCAACAUCUCCAUUGAAGAAAUUCAAUCAGGCCCAUUUAGACUUGCUCCUCAAUAAAAGGUUACAACCCUAAGGUUUGAACAAAAUCCUUCCAGAAAGAAGAAAACUAGGUCAGUUACAUUAGAGAUGAAUUGCUAAUUCAAGAAUCUCAAGGUAAUGUCAAACUAUUAUGACUCUGGAUCAAUCUGCAGAAAACUAAAACUAAAAGGCCCCAGGAAGGUCAAAUGUCCUCUCCCUCUAAGAAAAAAAGUCUUACCAGGUGGCAUUAAUUCCUUAAAUGCAAGACGUCUCAUUCAGGCGAAUACACUAAACAUUAAAGGUGAGAUAAAGCUGGAAAACUCAAGGGCACAGGCAGCUCUGAAGAGAAUGCGGAAGUGGUGGCCGCCACCAAGGGUAACUUUCCACUGCCAGGCGACAGGGCAAAGGAGAGCGGCUUUAACUCACCUUCCAGCCAAGUGCAGCCCAGGUGUGCGCAUGUCUGAGGAGCCCUGCCCUGGUCCCAUCUCAUGUCCCAUCGCAGGUGCCUCAGGAACACCAGCUGUCAGGAUCCCUCCGCCUUGGGUAAAUGCUUGGAGGUACACCCUGUCUUAGAAUAAACCUUGUCAUGUCCUCUUUUCCCUGUGCAAACGCUCCUCUUCUGCCACUUUCUGUUUAUGCAAAGAUACAGCUGGACGGAGGAGGUUUCGCAGAAAGCACCUGCAUCAUUUGACUCAGGACAGACGCCAGUCUCCUUAUAUGUGUGAGACCCUCAGGAGAGCAUCUAGUCAAGGGGCAUUUCAAUGCUCACCAGCUUCUCACAGCCAUCAGAUAGCGAGAUCUUCAAAUACCCAAAAUGUGGAUGCACCUUUCUUCUAAGAAAGAACUAACAAUCCACGGCACACUGGCCUACUCUCACAAAAAGUAUAAAAUUAAGUUGAUGUUGUGGGCUGAAUUGUGUGUGGUCCUGCUCCAGCUCCAGCCCCACCCCCAAAUUCCAAUGUUGAAGCCCUAACUCCCUGCCCCUAGGGGUGUGACUCUAUUUGGAGAUAAGGCCUUCAAAGACCUGACUAAGUCACGUUGAGGCCAUGAGGGGUGGCCCGACUCCAAUCUCACUGGUGUCCUUUUAAGAGGAGACGUGGACAUGGAAAGACACCAGGGACACACAGAAGAAGGACCACGUGUGGACAAAGGGGGACAGACGGGCAUCUGCACAAGCCAAGGAGGAAGGCCUCCCGAGAAUCAACCCUGGUGGCACCAUAAACUUGAACUUCUAGCCUCCAGAACUGUGAGGAAUCAACUGCUGUUGUUGAAACCAUCCAGUUCGUAGUAUUUUGUUAUGGCAGCCUGAGCAAACUAAAAGAGCAGGAAAGAGAAAACAGAAGUGACCAAUUACUUAACAAGUGAGAUAGAAGUAUAAGACUUCUUUCUAGAGUGAUCAAAACAGUCUUCAGAUGUGUGAUGGGGCCCUGGGGACACAACAGCCUGACCCACAAACCACAUUCCCAGCCUGAUCCCUCUCACAGUGCUUGGCCAGAGGGCAGCAUCCUCGCUCUGUGACUGCAGAGAGAUCUGCCAGGUGAGGUGGGCCUGGGAGGAUGGGUAAGAUUUGCUGGCAGAGAAGACAAGGGACAGCAAAGAGAGGCCACAUGCAUCCAGAGGACAUUCAAACCCCAACUGAGAAAAAAACAACAAAAAACCUGAACAAUGGACAAGAGGAAUCAACCCCACAAGAUCAAAUCAGCAAAUACACAUGAAAUAUUGGCCCAUCUCCCUCAUCACCAUAUUCAAAUUAAAAUAUAUGAUUUAAUUUCCCUUAAAUAGGGAAAACUCAACAUUUAAAUGUUCAGUCUGUGUAUACAAACAUGAGCACAUUUAGAAAAUGGUAAUUCAUAGACAGGGGCACUGCUGCUUAGGGGGAGAGAGAAGUGACCUGGCCAAGGUCACAGGGUGGGAGAGGCAGAGGUCAGGCAGAAACUCAGGUCUUUCUAGAACAGUGCUUCUCAACUGGGGUGACUACCGUCAAAAGGACAUUUGGCAGCGUGCAGGAGUUUUUGGCUGCCACCAUGUGGGGAUCUGCCACUGCUAUCUAUUGGGUAGAAGCCAGAGAUGUGACAAACAUCCCACAACUCACAGGUCAGCCAGCCCAACAGUCAACAGUGUCGCCCUAGGGAAACCCUGUUCUAGAAACCACAUUCUUGCAACCUUUCUGAAAUAAUUUAUUUUUUUUUUAAUUACCAAAACAGGAGUUCCCAUUGUGGUUCAGUGGGCUAAGAACAAAACACAGUGUCCAUGAGGAG
This 6526-nucleotide long non-coding RNA is filed under the name Sus scrofa (pig). Its description in RNAcentral is "lncRNA (ENSSSCG00000052729.1, ENSSSCG00130038129.1, ENSSSCG00160041227.1, ENSSSCG00185012489.1)". Lineage: Eukaryota; Metazoa; Chordata; Mammalia; Artiodactyla; Suidae. The record is from RNAcentral.